AGAGUUUGAUCCUGGCUCAGGACGAACGCUGGCGGCGUGCCUAAUACAUGCAAGUCGAACGCACUGACAGAGAAACUUGUUUCUCUCGACGUGAGUGGCGCACGGGUGAGGAACACGUGGGAAACCUACCCUUCAGCGGGGGAUAACCGUCGGAAACGAUGGCUAAUACCGCAUAGGUCUUUUAACCGCCUGGUUGAAAGAGGAAAGACGGCUUCGGCUGUCACUGAAGGAUGGUCCCGCGGUGCAUUAGCUAGUUGGUAAGGUAACGGCUUACCAAGGCGAUGAUGCAUAGCCGACCUGAGAGGGUGAUCGGCCACAUUGGGACUGAGACACGGCCCAAACUCCUACGGGAGGCAGCAGUAGGGAAUCUUCCGCAAUGGACGCAAGCCUGACGGAGCAACGCCGCGUGUGUGAAGAAGGUCUUCGGAUCGUAAAGCACUGUUAUUAGAGAAGAACAACCGGUAGAGUAACUGUUACCGGCUUGACGGUAUCUAACCAGAAAGCCACGGCUAACUACGUGCCAGCAGCCGCGGUAAUACGUAGGUGGCAAGCGUUGUCCGGAUUUAUUGGGCGUAAAGGGAGCGCAGGCGGUGACUUAAGUCUGAUGUGAAAGCCCACGGCUCAACCGUGGAAGGUCAUUGGAAACUGGGUCACUUGAGUGCAGAAGAGGAAAGUGGAAUUCCAUGUGUAGCGGUGAAAUGCGUAGAUAUAUGGAGGAACACCAGUGGCGAAGGCGACUUUCUGGUCUGUAACUGACGCUGAGGCUCGAAAGCGUGGGGAGCAAACAGGAUUAGAUACCCUGGUAGUCC
RNAcentral lists this ribosomal RNA (809 nucleotides) under uncultured bacterium. Its description in RNAcentral is "bacterial SSU rRNA". It matches the Rfam family "Bacterial small subunit ribosomal RNA", at positions 8 to 796 of the family's 1533-position model. The record is from RNAcentral.